GCCUCAUUGGCUGAGGGGCAGAGCGUCUGUCUAGUAAACAGAAGGUCGCAGGUUCGAUUCCAGCAUGAGGCA
Transfer RNA from Toxocara canis (dog roundworm), 72 nucleotides. It matches the Rfam family "tRNA". Rfam says of the family: Transfer RNA (tRNA) molecules are approximately 80 nucleotides in length. NCBI's taxonomy places the organism in Eukaryota, Metazoa, Nematoda, Chromadorea, Rhabditida, Toxocaridae. The record is from Rfam.